Molecule: long non-coding RNA, 605 nt
Organism: Drosophila novamexicana
Lineage: Eukaryota; Metazoa; Arthropoda; Insecta; Diptera; Drosophilidae
Exons: 3
Source: RefSeq, a predicted model, not a curated record
AUCAGUCAUAAAAUUGUCGCCUCGCGCAACGGUUGCUUCAAUAAUGGAUUUGUUUCUGUCAAUUUGCAUUUUGAUUUUUUUAUUUCUGCACGUAUUCGUCAAAUUUUUACAGUGGAUCGGUCAUGAUUUAAGAUUUAUUUAUGGUCUGCUCAUGUGCUGCUUCAGUCCAUGUUUCAGGCUAUGCAAAAAACUGUGCCAACUGUUGCGGCAUUUAUUCGAAUUAGUUCUGGAGUAGAGCGUGCGAGUUUUCAAUGUACAAAAACUAUUUGUUUAAAAGUGCAAAAUAUUGCAAAUAAUUGUUAAAUAAUUGGUGUUUUUUUUUGUUAACAAAAUAAAGGUUAAGAAUUAUAAGUUUGGAAUUUACGAUUUCUUUUUAAUUAUAUAUUGUGACAAGAAUCAACGCAAAAAUAAUCAGAAAAGCUUAAUCCAAGCUCCGACACACUCACUUUUUUAAGACUGAAGGAUUUAAGGACUCUAAUCGAUUCUAAGGACUAUUACGAAUCUAACGAGGCUACUCCUUCCAGGAUCGGAUAUAUAUUAAGCCAAAUAUAGACAUUUUAAGUUAAAAUCGAAAAUAUAUGUAAAAAACAAUAAAUUUGUUUAUU